UGCGGUGGUAGCUCAGCUGGAUAGAGUAGUCGGCUACGAACCGAUUGGUCGGGGGUUCGAAUCCUCUUCGCCGCACCAA
Molecule: transfer RNA, 79 nt
Filed under: Clostridium perfringens CPE str. F4969
Lineage: Bacteria; Bacillati; Bacillota; Clostridia; Eubacteriales; Clostridiaceae
Description: tRNA-Arg
Rfam family: tRNA
About the family: Transfer RNA (tRNA) molecules are approximately 80 nucleotides in length. Their secondary structure includes four short double-helical elements and three loops (D, anti-codon, and T loops). Further hydrogen bonds mediate the characteristic L-shaped molecular structure. tRNAs have two regions of fundamental functional importance: the anti-codon, which is responsible for specific mRNA codon recognition, and the 3' end, to which the tRNAs corresponding amino acid is attached (by aminoacyl-tRNA synthetases). tRNAs cope with the degeneracy of the genetic code in two manners: having more than one tRNA (with a specific anti-codon) for a particular amino acid; and 'wobble' base-pairing, i.e. permitting non-standard base-pairing at the 3rd anti-codon position.
Source: RNAcentral